CGGAUACACAAACAAACACCUGUGUCCCGUUGCUAACUUACAGCUAGCUUAUGCUAACGUCUGUACAGUUGGUACUGUGGCUGUUUUGGGGGCGAACAGACAAACGAGCCCGCGGUCACAUUCACCGGAAUGAUGCUAGGCGAAAAGUAUGCAUCGCUGUGAGAAGGAAUAUGGCGUUUUAUAUCGGUUUUGUUUGUGUUUCUGCAAAUAGACGGUUGCAGGUGGACUGGUGUUGACAUGGUCCGUGGGAGCUGGACGUCCGCGGCUGUGUGGCGACUGCAGUGCUUUUAUUGUCUCCUAGCUGCAGAUAUGCAGCCUCAAUGGAUGGCAUCCGGGAAGAAGAGGAACCUUCUAGAGACCAAGUGAAGGAACAUCUUCUCUGUGCUGAAGCUCUGAGAUGAGUGCAGAGUGUCCGGACCACAACGGAGAAGUUCCUUCACUCCAUUCAUGCCUUUUUCAUACCGUACUCACUGUAUACUCAUAGUAUUGUAUGUCAUGA
Molecule: long non-coding RNA, 499 nt
Organism: Sander lucioperca (pikeperch)
Lineage: Eukaryota; Metazoa; Chordata; Actinopteri; Perciformes; Percidae
Exons: 3
Source: RefSeq, a predicted model, not a curated record